Molecule: long non-coding RNA, 593 nt
Filed under: Malus domestica (apple)
Lineage: Eukaryota; Viridiplantae; Streptophyta; Magnoliopsida; Rosales; Rosaceae
Description: long non-coding RNA (MDOM_LNC008545)
Source: RNAcentral
AAAUGAAAUGGAUAUGCAAUUAAAUAGUUUAAUUGAAGACUGGUCAAAGAUUAAUUAAAUUAGUUAAUUAAUUUUACGAAAGGUUCGUGCCCAUUAUGUUUAAGUUGUAUGACAAUUAAAACAAAAUGGGUAAAUUAGCCCAAUAACAAGGUAAGGCCAGCCAUUAGGGUGAAUGGAGCAAACUUGGAUUAAUUACAAGUUUGCCACUCACUUGUAAUGAAGUAUAAAAGCAACUUUAUAGCUUUAUUUUCAUUAAGGAUUUUCUUUGAGGCAAAGAGGUGAAACAUUUUCUCUCUUUCUCUCUACAAAGAGGCCGGCCACUUAGAGGAGAUUUAGCUAGCAAUCUUUUCUUCUCUAAGUCAUCCAUUUCAUCUUCACACCUCACCCUUGGUGUGGAGACUUAGAGACACCAAACCUUUGGUGUUUUGGAGAUCCUUUCCUCACAUCCUCAAGGAGCAAAGGAGCACUAAAAGGGGAAAAUCACAAGCAAGAUUCAAGUAGCUUGGAGGUGACUUGAAGGCCCUUCACUUGGGUGAAUCCCUUGUGUAUACAAGGAUGAGCUUCAAGGGUAAAGAAACUCUAAAUCUUUACUU